Long non-coding RNA from Phasianus colchicus (ring-necked pheasant), 1441 nucleotides. RefSeq lists it as uncharacterized. NCBI's taxonomy places the organism in Eukaryota, Metazoa, Chordata, Aves, Galliformes, Phasianidae. The record is from RefSeq and is a predicted model, not a curated record.
AUUUAAGAGCUGACUACCACUGGGGAAGGAUCUCUUCUGGAGAUGCUCCUUUUGGAUCUUCCCAGCGAGCUAAGGACCUUCCCACCAACGUUCUUUUACAUUUUGCUUCUGCGUGACAGAUGGCAGAAGAGUGGCAGGCUGAAUUUAAAGCUUUAUGGCAUGUCAUCUACCAUCAGGAACAGGGCACCCAGACUUCGCAUUUCCUUUGAAAACCUCUAACACAAUUAGAGAUUACAGCCAGCAAAAGCCAGCUGCAAGAAGAUGCAGCCCAAAUAAAGCAACAGAACUCUGCUCUGCAGGGGACAGAAGCCCAUUUAUGGCAAAGGGCUGAAGAGACAGGCAAGUUAGUUUAAAAAAAAAAACCAAAAAACUGCCACAGCUGAAAGACAAGAAGGCCUCAAAAACUAUUCACCAGUGGUACAGAAAAGCAGCUCCUAAAUAAUGAGACAUCACCUCAAGAGAUUUCAGAAGCCCUUCAAUGAAGUGAUUACCCAGUUCUGAAAUGAUAAAAGUUUUACACACACAGACAUCAACAGAAAACCAAGUGAAGAAAUCACAUUUAUAGAUUUGGGUCAUCCAUGAGAUCCAAAGAGCAAACUUUCAAAAAAAAAAAAAAAUUCACCUGAGGUUCAGCUGAAACUAUCAAAUGACAAUCAAAAUCCCUUUAAAAUCCUAAUAUGAAGAUGCCAGAUUUCUGUUUUUGUAGAAGACUUGGGAUGCUAAACUAUCUGAAACCUGUAAUUAAUGGACCAUUUUUUCCUGUGCUGAGUAGUAUUGCAGUCAGAAUACUGAAAACGUCAAGGAGCUUAGGAAGUGCUUCCAGACUUUUAUUUUAAUGUAGGAGUGAAUCUUCAAGACUAGGUAAAGAAGAAUUACAAAGAAGCUUUGAAAAUACUUUGAUAUAGGUACAGGUUGUUUAAAAAAAUGGAAAUACUUAAAAUAUGUAUAAUUAAACAUCUCUGAGAAACUUAAUGCUGAAAAACACUUGACAAAAAUUACAUUCCAAAGAUACAAAUUGUAUGAGGUCUAGCCAUAGUUAUUUUAUUGUUUUAAUAGAGUAACACUUGAAAGAAAAGUAUCCCAGAGAACAUUCUGGCUGUUUUAGUACUCAGACUAUGGAUCCAGCUCUGGUAGGAAAUUGAAUUUGCAAUUUGUAUUUAGGAAUAAAUAAAUAAUCCAAGUAUUUUUACAGCACUGGAAGACUGACAAAUGUUGCAAUCAAAAAAAAAAAAACCACAACCCCCAACUUCCCAAAAUUUACUGUCUUACCUCUUAAUUUCCUGAUCACGUCUUAAUUAGGGGCCUGGAAAAUCUUUCUGCACUUAUUUUUAUUUCUAUUUUAAGUUUUGCAAGGGACAUAAAGCACAGUUUUGCUGACUAAUGACUAAUGCAGAGAAAUACUGUCUGACUCUCCUCUCACGAAGUCAAUGCUCCAGAUCCU